Dromaius novaehollandiae (emu) is the source of this 2943-nucleotide long non-coding RNA. RefSeq lists it as uncharacterized. The record is from RefSeq and is a predicted model, not a curated record. NCBI's taxonomy places the organism in Eukaryota, Metazoa, Chordata, Aves, Casuariiformes, Dromaiidae. The transcript has 3 exons.
CCGCUGCCCGUGGCGCGGUGGGACAGGUGCCAGCGAUGCUCUCUGCCGGCGAGGUUGCCUCACGGCCGCCACCCCCAGCAGGGCUGCGGGGGGAAGGCAGCAGGGCCCUUCCCGUAAAGGGCGGCGGAGGGUUUGUCCCCAGGGACUUGGCGAGGACGCGGGUGCUCCGUGAGGCCUCAGCACACGCUGAGCCUCGCUCCCAGUGCGACGCGAGGCCCCUUCUCACACGGAUCACUGCCCCCAGGCUCAGCCCCGUGCUGCGCGGGCCCGGCUCACCGGAGCCUGGAGAGCAAGCGCUGUACGCUGGGCUCCUUCGCCAGGGCCAGAUCCUACCCCCAACUGGCAAGUGGAGUGGUGCAGAUAAGUCUGUACCACAUCAUGGGGAUCUUUAUGUAAACUGAGGCUUCUUACCAAGAUAUACUAUGGAACUGAGAUACUACCACACCAGCCAGACUAUCCGCAGUAAAAUAUGUGGAGACCUCAACAGGAGAGAAACAGAUGGGAGGAGUCACUGUUUCUAGCACAGCCCCAAGGCAUCCCUGUUCUCUUGUUCAGGACUCCUUUGGUUACUAUCUCGGCUUUCCAGCUAUUCAGAGAACAGCUUGAUUUUCCUCGCAGACCUGCAGUACUGCCCUAAAUUGGACAGCAAGACUCCUUGGAGAAAGCAAGUAGCUUCAGUCAUGAGAACUGCUCUGCCUGACUAAACAGAUCUUGCAGUGGGCACAACAAGAGGUCAGAAUAGCUCAUUCAGUUCAACUCCCUAAAUAAUACCACCAGGCUUAGAUGGAGAGCCAUAAAUUGGUGGCCUAGCGCACUCAAGAAGCCAACCCAGAAGUAAUCAGCAAAGCUUUCUAUUCAAAUAUAACAACAGUAUCUAGAAAUGGAGAAACAGGAAGCUUUUUAGAGCUUUCAGUCUAGUCCAGUCCCAUGUCUCCCAACAGGCUUUCCGAGUUCCUUUGAUUGGAAAGGGUUUCUUUGUGCUGCAAAGUCCAACAAGGGUUAAUUUAUAUUUGUCUUGGACCUAGCAGUCCCUGGAGACUCUGCUUUGGGAUUGUCCUCUCUCAUUCAUCACACUGGAUUUCCAGCAGUUGGCUUAAGUGAGAAAGAAAAUGAAUAAACAUCCUUUAAUCUAAAAAAACUGCAAUGUGUUAAACUUUGGCGAUUAACUUCAAUUUCUUGCUUGACUUGUUUGAAAGUGAAGCCAGUAGUGGAACUAAGGGUGAAGAGCAGCAGAGGGUGUAUUAUCCAGACAUCUUCCUAGAUACUUCAUUAAAUGAUGGAAGUUAAUGGCAUCUUUAAGGACAUUCACACUGUAUAGACAGAAUAGGUGUGGAUCUAUACUAUAUUACAGACACCGUGCUACUAUUUAUUUCUGUUAAAGUUCAAUCAUUUGCACCUAAUCAUUUUCAAUGAAUGCUUAAUAUUUUUCCUCUUUUAGAAGGAGAAAUGAUUAUUUCCAUAUCUCCCCCUGGUGUGGUAAUGGCAAAACAUUUCAUAAGGAAAGCCUGCAGAUUCAUAUAAUAUUAGUUUCUUAGUUAAAUAAAUAAUUGCAGAUACAUCAAUGAAUUGGAUUUUUCUAUCUUGAAUAUUCAUACAUUAGUGUUCUCACUGAAGUCAAUAAACAGGAUUUUGAAAAAUGGGCCUUCCUCUUGCUUUGUGUUUCAUCCUGGACUUCCACAAAGGCAAUUUCAGGAUAGGGGCCUAAGAGGAAAAAAUGAUGAAGCAGAAAUGCAGAGAAGAAAGAGGAGAGAAAGGAGAUGGAGAGUUUGUUCUUUCCAUUAAUAUUAAACUGUCCAUUUCCCAGCUGCAUGCUCAUGAAAAGGAGACUUCUUGGUGAUUACCUAGUAAUUCAAACCUUACAAACCUACCUCAGAACACACAAAGACAAGGUAAAAAAAGGAUUUUUUUAUUGCAGUUUCAGGAAAUCUGAUCCACAGCAGAGCUUGAAGAAUUCACUAAGCUUUUGAACACAUAUGCAGACUGGUAUCAAUUUCUUUUUUUAUUUCUUCCUUACCAGAUGAACAAUGUAUAUGAACAAUAUAGUGUGUGUGUAUGUGUGUGUGUGUGUGUGUGUGUGUGUGUGUGUAAACAUGAGUAACUUUUAUAAAUGGAAAUGCCAAAGAAUACAAGUAAUAAUCUGGUUUCUAUACAAGGCUCUGUCUCACAAAACAAUCUGCUGCACAAAAACAAAACAAACCUCUAAAACUAUAUUCAUGUGGUAACACUACAGAGUAUGCUUGCCUUUUACCUGUUUACCUAGUCAAAAUCCUAGUCUAGAAAUCAAGAAAUAUUCAAUUAAAGAUGAACCUACAUAGGGUAUUAUCUUCGCAGUCUCUCUGUACUGUUGUCAUAGAAGACAUUUAGACAUUUACAGUCAAAGGGUUCCCCUCCCAAGGUAGUGUAUUCUCAAUGCUGUGACACUGCCUCUGCCCCGUUACAACCCUGCUUUACUGUUCUUUAGUUAUAGAGAACAGAGAAUGAAGGGUUGCAAUUUGGUUUUCCUGAUGUAAUUGUGUUUGUAGCGUGCGGUUGUAACAGGGACUGAAUUUGCUAUAGAACUCUGUUCUUCAUAUCUCCCAGCUACCCAUGAAAAUCAGAAGAAUAGCGACAAUGUAAGUUCUGCAGUGCGUAUUACCUGAACUGAGAAAAAAAAGAUUCCAUAUACUUUUGGUUCAGUGAAAGCCUCUGUGAGCAGUAGGCAAUAUAUUCUUACUUUUUUUUGUCAUGAUUCCAUAUACUGUCAAGCAUUUUAAUCAAUUUUACUUGUUAUUUUGCUGGAUUUUUUGGUAUGCUUUGUCGAUUAUAUUCCACAGUACUUUUGCUUAUUUGUAUAUCUGAUCUGUAUGUGAUCUGUUGGAAGUUUAAGAGAAACAGAACAUAUACAAGUACAAAUCUCUUCAAGUGUUUUAUUAAUCAGUACAUUUCUGAAUGAAUAACAUUGUG